UGAGUUUGAUCAUGGCUCAGAUUGAACGCUGGCGGCAGGCCUAACACAUGCAAGUCGAGCGGAUGAGAAGAGCUUGCUCUUCGAUUCAGCGGCGGACGGGUGAGUAAUGCCUAGGAAUCUGCCUGGUAGUGGGGGACAACGUUUCGAAAGGAACGCUAAUACCGCAUACGUCCUACGGGAGAAAGCAGGGGACCUUCGGGCCUUGCGCUAUCAGAUGAGCCUAGGUCGGAUUAGCUAGUUGGUGAGGUAAUGGCUCACCAAGGCGACGAUCCGUAACUGGUCUGAGAGGAUGAUCAGUCACACUGGAACUGAGACACGGUCCAGACUCCUACGGGAGGCAGCAGUGGGGAAUAUUGGACAAUGGGCGAAAGCCUGAUCCAGCCAUGCCGCGUGUGUGAAGAAGGUCUUCGGAUUGUAAAGCACUUUAAGUUGGGAGGAAGGGCAGUAAGAUAAUACCUUGCUGUUUUGACGUUACCGACAGAAUAAGCACCGGCUAACUCUGUGCCAGCAGCCGCGGUAAUACAGAGGGUGCAAGCGUUAAUCGGAAUUACUGGGCGUAAAGCGCGCGUAGGUGGUUUGUUAAGUUGGAUGUGAAAGCCCCGGGCUCAACCUGGGAACUGCAUCCAAAACUGGCAAGCUAGAGUACGGUAGAGGGUGGUGGAAUUUCCUGUGUAGCGGUGAAAUGCGUAGAUAUAGGAAGGAACACCAGUGGCGAAGGCGACCACCUGGACUGAUACUGACACUGAGGUGNNNAAGCGUGGGGAGCAAACAGGAUUAGAUACCCUGGUAGUCCACGCCGUAAACGAUGUCAACUAGCCGUUGGAAUCCUUGAGAUUUUAGUGGCGCAGCUAACGCAUUAAGUUGACCGCCUGGGGAGUACGGCCGCAAGGUUAAAACUCAAAUGAAUUGACGGGGGCCCGCACAAGCGGUGGAGCAUGUGGUUUAAUUCGAAACAACGCGAAGAACCUUACCAGGCCUUGACAUGCAGAGAACUUUCUAGAGAUAGAUUGGUGCCUUCGGGAACUCUGACACAGGUGCUGCAUGGCUGUCGUCAGCUCGUGUCGUGAGAUGUUGGGUUAAGUCCCGUAACGAGCGCAACCCUUGUCCUUAGUUACCAGCACGUUAUGGUGGGCACUCUAAGGAGACUGCCGGUGACAAACCGGAGGAAGGUGGGGAUGACGUCAAGUCAUCAUGGCCCUUACGGCCUGGGCUACACACGUGCUACAAUGGUCGGUACAGAGGGUUGCCAAGCCGCGAGGUGGAGCUAAUCUCACAAAACCGAUCGUAGUCCGGAUCGCAGUCUGCAACUCGACUGCGUGAAGUCGGAAUCGCUAGUAAUCGCGAAUCAGAAUGUCGCGGUGAAUACGUUCCCGGGCCUUGUACACACCGCCCGUCACACCAUGGGAGUGGGUUGCACCAGAAGUAGCUAGUCUAACCUUCGGGAGGACGGUUACCACGGUGUGAUUCAUGACUGGGGUGAAGUCGUAACAAGGUAACCA
This 1499-nucleotide ribosomal RNA is filed under the name uncultured Pseudomonas sp. RNAcentral's name for it is "bacterial SSU rRNA". It matches the Rfam family "Bacterial small subunit ribosomal RNA". Lineage: Bacteria; Pseudomonadati; Pseudomonadota; Gammaproteobacteria; Pseudomonadales; Pseudomonadaceae. The record is from RNAcentral.